CAACCCUCAAGCCUAGCUUGGUGAUGGGCCUUCGUCUUCUAGACGGGUCUGAAAAUUAGUGGCGAUGCCCUUCAGCUUCAAGCAUAGUAAAUGUGUCUUUGUCUUGAAUAGUUGGCUGGUGUAUUGGCCAAGUGAAUUGUAUAUUUCAUCU
Molecule: unclassified non-coding RNA, 151 nt
Filed under: uncultured Ascomycota
Lineage: Eukaryota; Fungi; Ascomycota
Description: sequence contains ITS2
Source: RNAcentral